Molecule: non-coding RNA, 368 nt
Organism: Williamsia sp. D3
Lineage: Bacteria; Bacillati; Actinomycetota; Actinomycetes; Mycobacteriales; Nocardiaceae
Source: Rfam
GGGGCUGAACGGUUUCGACUGCGUGCGUCAAGGUAGGGGAAGCGUGUCGGUGCAGGCUAGAGACCACCGUAAGCGUCAUAGCAACCAAUUAAGCGCCGAUAAGAAUCAGCGCGACUACGCCCUCGCUGCCUAAGCGACGGCUGGUCUGUCGGCCCGGGUGAGCUCUCGCCCCGGGUACCGGCAUCAUUCAGAGAGCUAACCGUUGCGGGCGGUCGCGGACCGCAAUGGGACAUCAAACAGCGACUGGGAUCGUCAUCUCGGCUUGUUCGCGUGACCGAGAGAUCCGAGUAGAGGCUUAGCGAACUGCACACGGAGAAGCCCUGCUGAAACGGCGAAGGACCCGGGUUCGAUUCCCGGCAGCUCCACCG